RNAcentral lists this ribosomal RNA (465 nucleotides) under uncultured Klebsiella sp. RNAcentral's name for it is "bacterial SSU rRNA". It matches the Rfam family "Bacterial small subunit ribosomal RNA", at positions 338 to 795 of the family's 1533-position model. Lineage: Bacteria; Pseudomonadati; Pseudomonadota; Gammaproteobacteria; Enterobacterales; Enterobacteriaceae. The record is from RNAcentral.
CCUACGGGCGGCUGCAGUGGGGAAUAUUGCACAAUGGGCGCAAGCCUGAUGCAGCCAUGCCGCGUGUGUGAAGAAGGCCUUCGGGUUGUAAAGCACUUUCAGCGGGGAGGAAGGCGGUGAGGUUAAUAACCUCAUCGAUUGACGUUACCCGCAGGAGAAGCACCGGCUAACUCCGUGCCAGCAGCCGCGGUAAUACGGAGGGUGCAAGCGUUAAUCGGAAUUACUGGGCGUAAAGCGCACGCAGGCGGUCUGUCAAGUCGGAUGUGAAAUCCCCGGGCUCAACCUGGGAACUGCAUUCGAAACUGGCAGGCUAGAGUCUUGUAGAGGGGGGUAGAAUUCCAGGUGUAGCGGUGAAAUGCGUAGAGAUCUGGAGGAAUACCGGUGGCGAAGGCGGCCCCCUGGACAAAGACUGACGCUCAGGUGCGAAAGCGUGGGGAGCAAACAGGAUUAGAUACCCCUGUAGUC